AGGAAGAGAAAAUAAUAAUGAUUCCCCUAGUAGUGGCGAGCGAACGGGGAAAAGCCCAAACCAUCAUUGUUUCGGCAAUGGUGGGGUUGUAGGACUGCAAUGUGGACUUGUUAUUCAUAGUAGAAUCAUCUGGAAAGUUGAACCAUAGAGAGUGAUAGUCUCGUAAACGAAAUGAAUAGCAUACCUAGCAGUAUCCUGAGUAGCGCGAAACACGUGAAAUUUUGUGUGAAUCUGCCGGAACCAUCCG
This 247-nucleotide ribosomal RNA is filed under the name Aristerostoma sp. ATCC 50986. Its description in RNAcentral is "partial Bacterial large subunit ribosomal RNA". It matches the Rfam family "Bacterial large subunit ribosomal RNA", at positions 214 to 459 of the family's 2925-position model. The record is from RNAcentral. Lineage: Eukaryota; Ciliophora; Colpodea; Cyrtolophosidida; Cyrtolophosididae.